CGUGUGUGACGAAGUGGGACUGUUCUUAAUGUUCCCUCUGAAUACUGUGGGGGUGCCUCAGUUUCCCCUAGGCAGUUCUUACGUCUCUAG
Molecule: long non-coding RNA, 90 nt
Organism: Chelonia mydas (Green sea turtle)
Lineage: Eukaryota; Metazoa; Chordata; Testudines; Cheloniidae
Exons: 3
Source: RefSeq, a predicted model, not a curated record